GACGAACGCUGGCGGCGUGCUUAACACAUGCAAGUCGAACGGAAAGGCCCUGCUUUUGUGGGGUGCUCGAGUGGCGAACGGGUGAGUAACACGUGAGUAACCUGCCCUUGACUUUGGGAUAACUUCAGGAAACUGGGGCUAAUACCGGAUAGGAGCUCCUGCUGCAUGGUGGGGGUUGGAAAGUUUCGGCGGUUGGGGAUGGACUCGCGGCUUAUCAGCUUGUUGGUGGGGUAGUGGCUUACCAAGGCAUUGACGGGUAGCCGGCCUGAGAGGGUGACCGGCCACAUUGGGACUGAGAUACGGCCCAGACUCCUACGGGACGCAGCAGUGGGGAAGAGUGCACAAUGGGCGGAAGCCUGAUGCAGCCACGCCGCGUGCGGGAUGACGGGCUGCGGGUAGUAAAGCGCUUUCGCCUGUGACGAAGCGUGAGUGACGGUAAUGGGUAAAGAAGCUCCGGCUAACUACGUG
Molecule: ribosomal RNA, 468 nt
Filed under: uncultured bacterium
Lineage: Bacteria
Description: partial 16S ribosomal RNA
Rfam family: Bacterial small subunit ribosomal RNA
Source: RNAcentral